ACAAUGGCUUUUAAAAACAGUCCACUAAAACCACUACCCACGAUCAUCCUUCCUCCACUGUUUUUUAUCUUCUCAUUUUCUAUAAAUUCGACACUGAGAUAUAUCAUGUAAUUACUCAAAAGAGACGCUUCUUCCGUGAUAGAAUGGAUGCGUGAUGUUAGUUAAAAAGAGUUUGUUCGAACCCAUGAUCAAAACAGAGCAAAGUAGGAAAUAAAUUGUUGCUGCGAGCAGGAAAAGCUCAUGAUGAUAUAUACAAACCGCCUUGCUCCUUUCUUAUCUUGCAAAUUCUAAUAUUUUACUCUGGCCGAAGCAAGUUCUGAAAAUUUGGUGGACAGAAUUUUGUAAAAAUUCUAUUAGCCUAUGUUUAAUUACUUUUUUUUCUCUCAGUUAGGUUCUGUAAGGGAAAGAAACACUUUCAAACAAGCAAUAGAACUUAACGAUGAGGAAGCUAGAAGAUCAAUGGGUAUUGCUGAGAAGAAACUCUUAGAGAUUGAUUACUAUGGAGCAAGAACGUUCAUUAACCAGGAAAAUAGUUUGUAUACAGAUCUUGAUUUUAAAACAAGUGCUGACUAUGAUUUAUGUUUUUAUCUAUGCAUCACCCAUAGAAGGAAGAGAAGCUGGUUGAUAUGAGAUUCUGAGUGUAGAUCGUUGGUAAUGAUGAAACCGGUCAAAAAGCAAGACAAGAUGUUAGGUCUUUUUCUUCAUCUCGGACAAGAAAAGGAAACAAGAAAGGCUCUCAUGUCAAGUUGGUUUUCCUUAACUUUAUAUAUAUUUACUUUAUAAUUGUAUAAAGAUAUAUUUUUGUUUACUUUAGGAUACACAUUUUAUAUUUUUCUUAUAUAAAAUGUUACCAAUAUUGGUAGAAUAAAUAUAAACUUGGAAAUGAAGAAAGACACAUGGAGAAGAACUAUACACUAUAUA
This is a long non-coding RNA of Raphanus sativus (radish), 921 nucleotides long. RefSeq lists it as uncharacterized. The transcript has 3 exons. NCBI's taxonomy places the organism in Eukaryota, Viridiplantae, Streptophyta, Magnoliopsida, Brassicales, Brassicaceae. The record is from RefSeq and is a predicted model, not a curated record.